Molecule: non-coding RNA, 21 nt
Filed under: Caenorhabditis elegans
Lineage: Eukaryota; Metazoa; Nematoda; Chromadorea; Rhabditida; Rhabditidae
Source: RNAcentral
UAUGAGAGUCCAAUGGAUUAA